GACGAACGCUGGCGGCGUGCUUAACACAUGCAAGUCGAACGGAAAGGCCCAGCUUGCUGGGUGCUCGAGUGGCGAACGGGUGAGUAACACGUGGGUGAUCUGCCCCUAACUUCGGGAUAAGCUUGGGAAACUGGGUCUAAUACCGGAUAGGACAAUCGUUUAGUGUCGGUUGUGGAAAGUUUUUUCGGUUAGGGAUGAGCCCGCGGCCUAUCAGCUUGUUGGUGGGGUAAUGGCCUACCAAGGCGUCGACGGGUAGCCGGCCUGAGAGGGUGGACGGCCAAAUUGGGACUGAGAUACGGCCCAGACUCCUACGGGAGGGAGCAGUGGGGAAUAUUGCACAAUGGGCGGAAGGCUGAUGCAGCGACGCCGCGUGGGGGAUGACGGCCUUCGGGUUGUAAACCUCUUUCGACAGGGACGAAGCUUUGGUGACGGUACCUGUAUAAGAAGCACCGGCUAACUACGUG
This 464-nucleotide ribosomal RNA is filed under the name uncultured bacterium. RNAcentral's name for it is "partial 16S ribosomal RNA". It matches the Rfam family "Bacterial small subunit ribosomal RNA", at positions 28 to 507 of the family's 1533-position model. The record is from RNAcentral.